UUCUAUGGCGGGCGGUGCGUGGGGAUCGCAAGAUCCGCCGGGCCUUUUCUCCCUGUGAGCCUUUCUGCCUUGGUACGCCAACCCGCACCGUCCGCCACCUUC
RNAcentral lists this non-coding RNA (102 nucleotides) under Stenotrophomonas sp. CC22-02. Lineage: Bacteria; Pseudomonadati; Pseudomonadota; Gammaproteobacteria; Lysobacterales; Lysobacteraceae. The record is from RNAcentral.